RNAcentral lists this non-coding RNA (246 nucleotides) under Bacillus cereus. Its description in RNAcentral is "T-box sequence". It matches the Rfam family "T-box leader". Rfam says of the family: Uncharged tRNA acts as the effector for transcription antitermination of genes in the T-box leader family. The record is from RNAcentral. Lineage: Bacteria; Bacillati; Bacillota; Bacilli; Caryophanales; Bacillaceae.
AAGAAUGUGAAGAAGAGGAAAGUAGACGAUACGAUUUGUUUCAGAGAGCUACUCCGUGGCUGUGAGGGUAGUACAAAUCUAUUGAUUGAAAAUCACCUCAGAGCACUAUUCACGAAAGGAAACGAGUAGGGAGUAGCGGAGUUGUUCCCGAUAGCAGAACAAAAGUCCAUAUUUGGACUUACUGAGCUUAUAUUUCGUGAGGAGUAUAAGGAAGCUGAGUGGUACCACGAUUCCCUCGUCUCAGCA